Molecule: long non-coding RNA, 2666 nt
Organism: Homo sapiens (human)
Lineage: Eukaryota; Metazoa; Chordata; Mammalia; Primates; Hominidae
Exons: 7
Source: RefSeq, a predicted model, not a curated record
AAAAAUACCGUUGUUUUUCUUAAGGAGUUUACAGAUUGUCUUAGAAGAACAGCUAUUGAUAAUUAACAAAUAUUUGUUGAAUAAAGGAAUGAAGCGUUGUGACUAUUAUACUGUCUGAGAAAGACAUUUACCUAGCCUCCUAAAUCUCCUAGUCCAGUUGGUGAGGAAACCUAGAAUGUGCGAAUUCACAAAGAUCUGAGAUAGCCUGAUGUGUUAAGGGAUUUAUAGGUAGUUCCAUACUUCGAGGGUGAAAGAGGUGACAAAGAAUGUACCUGGACACAUUGAGAAAACAGAGAGUGAUUUUUUUCAUAUAACCAGAAUUAAUAAAUUUCUGCAGGGCCCUGAAGUGUGAUAUGUGGGAGGCAUGAGAAAUAGAAGAAAUUGCUGUGGAACCCUACUCUCAAGGUGAUAGUCUGCUUCUGGAGAGAAAAACAACUAAGGCAUAUAAAUAAUAAUAUGCAUGUGUGGCCCAAACUGAAAGUUUGAGUCCUGAAGAUGUAUGAGUAAGGGUGUGAUCAGUAGAAAAGUUGAAGAAAGUGAUUCAGAACUCUUUCAAGAACUAAAGAGAAGGUGAAACUCCAUGCAGAGAAGAAUGAGAUGGUAAUUUGGAGAGGCAAUGAUAGGCUGAUACCAAGCCUUAGAUGUUUUCAAGGGUGGAGCCUCAGAGUAUACACGUUGGACAUUGCAUUCCACAAUCCUGCCAAUAAGUCAAAAGUGGCCGUCAGCCUAACACUUGGGCCCUGUAGAAGAAACUUCUGUCCAAAGCUACCCUAUAGUUGGCUGCCUGGCUUCAGAGCUUUUUUUGAACUUGGAAGACUUCAAGCCCCAACUGAGGAAUCCUUGAUGCUCUGUUGUUUUGUCUUGCUAAAAUGUACAAGAAACUUGCACAGCUCUGUCCUUCAGGCUUAAAAUCAUCCCAGGGAGGUCACUCUAAUUCCUUUUAAUGUGUGCUGAAGAAAGGGCAGCACAGCUGAAGCCUGAUUUAAAAUCUGAUCUUCUCCCUAAUGUCACAAGGACAUCCUGAGACAAUGGCUGAGGAGCUAUGCACCAGUACCCAGCUGGAUCCCUGAUACUUACAUUGGCAGAUGCAUUAUCAACAGAGACAUCGAUUUAGAGUGAAUUAAAGGAAUUACAAAGAUCAAGAUGAAUUCAGUGAAGCUUCCCAUAGGACUGUUCAAAGAUCUCCAGGCCUGCCAUUCAUGCAUUCAUGUGAGAGAGACACUUUGGGCCUAAGAAAUGAAGGCCAAUUCAUGUGGAGUCAGUCCUCUUAUAACCACAGUAGGAUAGAACUUGUUUCUGAGACCUUCAGAAGGACUAAGCCCUAGGCAAACAGCCCCAGUGAAGUCAGCUCUAAGGACAUAUUGAGGUAAGAACUAGGGAAAAUUCAUGUUUUAUUUCCCUAUUGCUUUUAAAAUCCAAUUUAAAAUGUAUUACCUAUCAAGAGAGAAUUCUCUAUAAUUUCGUGAAAAUGAUUUAUAUGGCUCCGGAUAUGUAUUUUUUUGUCCCCCUUUUCCCCUCCCAUUUACUCCUUCAGCCACAGGUAAAUACUUUUUGCCAUGACCUCUCUCUCUGUGAAAUCAAACUAAUAUGCUAACUUUUGUUUGCUUUUCUUGUGCAACACUGCUGAUGAGAAACAUUUUGUCCUCCUUCGUCUAUUUCUGUUAUAUUAUUUUAAGACCUGUCAUUAUAAUAAAAAAUAUCUUAAUGCUGAUAAUGACAUUGAUGAUGGUUAUGAUGACUUCAAGCUCUGCCCUAGACAAUUAACUCCAUAAAGGCAGGAACUGUAUCUAUCUUCUUUAGCAUUUCAUAAGGCAAACCCAACAGUGUCCCUGACUUGCAGCAAGUACUCAAGAAAAAUAUUUGUUAAAUGAAUGAAAAUGCUAGCAGAGACCAUUGGCUGAAAGUUUGCUAAUAUAAUCUUUAUAUUUUAUAAUCUUUGUAUUUUAUAUUUUUACAACCAUCUUUGGAAACAGGUAUUUAUUAUGCCGAUUUUGCAAAUGAGAACACUAUCUUCAAUGGAAGGAUAACCACAUCUACAUUUGAAGUGUAGUUAGAGGGAUGCUCCUCAAGCUUUAAUAUAUAUUUGAAUCACCUGAGGAAUCUUAAUAAAAUGCAAAUUCCUAUUCAGUAGUUCUGAGUUGAGGCCCAAGUUUCUGCAUUUCUUACAAGCUCCCAGGUGAUGCCCACACGGCUGUUCUGAGUGAGCCAGCACUCUGAGUAGCAACAUUCCCUUAGAAUUACCUGCAGAUGAGUAUGUAAAAUUCAAAUUAUUGGUCUACACAGAUAUACUAAAUCAUAAUCAUAGUUCGGGAAAUGAGAAUCAGCUACCUACAGUACAAGCAAUCUGGUAAUUAUUAUGAAAAUUAAAUGAGUAAAGUGUGUGUUAAGUGCUUUAUAAACCAAAAGUAGUAUGUAAAUAUUAGAAUAACAUUUUUAUUUUAUAAUUGUUACUAUUAUUAUUGUUUGAUGGUGACACAAAUUUGAUUUCUGUACCACUCCAAGCAUGUAUAUUGGUUGUGAAGGCUGUUUUUACCAAUAUGUAUCUACAAUAAAAUGUUCUAAAUUAAAUCGUUGGAAUAUAAUUUUGGCAAUUUUAAAAAAAUACUGUAAAUAAAAAUGUGCAUGUGCUGCAUUUUACAAUGGAAAUAAAAUAUGUUUUUUCAGUA